CACGUAGGGGGCGAGCGUUGUCCGGAUUUAUUGGGCGUAAAGAGCUCGUAGGCGGUUCGGCAAGUCGGGGGUGAAAUUUCGAGGCUCAACCUCGAAACGCCACUCGAUACUGCUGUGACUGGAGUCCGGUAGAGGAGUGCGGAAUUCCUGGUGUAGCGGUGAAAUGCGCAGAUAUCAGGAGGAACACCAACGGCGAAGGCAGCACUCUGGGCCGGUACUGACGCUGAGGAGCGAAAGCGUGGGGAGCAAACAGG
This 254-nucleotide ribosomal RNA is filed under the name uncultured bacterium. RNAcentral's name for it is "partial 16S ribosomal RNA". It matches the Rfam family "Bacterial small subunit ribosomal RNA", at positions 524 to 776 of the family's 1533-position model. The record is from RNAcentral.